GGGGCUGACUGGAUUUGACAGCAGGACCGAACGUUGUGUAAGCACGCAGAGAGUCGUGGGUCGCUCUCUCUAAUCAAUGGCUCUCACAGAUUUAUCUGGCGAAAACAACUACGCUCUCGCUGCCUAAUCGAAGUACAGUAGAUUACUGGCUUAAUCUCGGCACCAGGUGCUGAGACGAGAUGUCACUCAGAUGCUCUGGCUCCGAAGCUCUCUGGUAUAGUGGCACAGCAAAGUCGGAGAUAGUCCGGGGUGGCCUCGCGCCCUGGAUGAAGAUUUUAGAGGAUAAGGCACAGGUUGGUGGUUCAGGUCUUGCCUGUGCACGAAAAUCAAGUCUGAAAUAAGCGUGUAGAAAGCUCAGGGUUUGCCUGUUUGGACGAGGGUUCAAUCCCCUCCAGCUCCACU
RNAcentral lists this transfer-messenger RNA (402 nucleotides) under pig gut metagenome. It matches the Rfam family "transfer-messenger RNA". Rfam says of the family: Bacterial tmRNA, also known as 10Sa RNA or SsrA, is named for its dual tRNA and mRNA-like properties. Its role is to liberate the mRNA from a stalled ribosome. The record is from RNAcentral.